GAUGAACGCUGGCGGCGUGCCUAACACAUGCAAGUCGAGCGAUUCUCUUCGGAGAAGAGCGGCGGACGGGUGAGUAACGCGUGGGUAACCUGCCCUGUACACACGGAUAACAUACCGAAAGGUAUGCUAAUACGGGAUAAUAUGCUUUAGUCGCAUGGCUGAAGUAUCAAAGCUCCGGCGGUACUGGAUGGACCCGCGUCUGAUUAGCUAGUUGGUAAGGUAAUGGCUUACCAAGGCGACGAUCAGUAGCCGACCUGAGAGGGUGAUCGGCCAAAUUGGAACUGAGACACGGUCCAAACUCCUACGGGAGGCAGCAGUGGGGAAUAUUGCACAAUGGGCGAAAGCCUGAUGCAGCAACGCCGCGUGAGCGAUGAAGGCCUUCGGGUCGUAAAGCUCUGUCCUCAAGGAAGAUAAUGACGGUACUUGAGGAGGAAGCCCCGGCUAACUACAUGCCAGCAGCCGCCGUAA
This 468-nucleotide ribosomal RNA is filed under the name uncultured bacterium. Its description in RNAcentral is "partial 16S ribosomal RNA". It matches the Rfam family "Bacterial small subunit ribosomal RNA", at positions 28 to 523 of the family's 1533-position model. The record is from RNAcentral.